Molecule: ribosomal RNA, 253 nt
Filed under: uncultured bacterium
Lineage: Bacteria
Description: partial 16S ribosomal RNA
Rfam family: Bacterial small subunit ribosomal RNA
Source: RNAcentral
UACGAAGGGGGCUAGCGUUGCUCGGAAUCACUGGGCGUAAAGCGCACGUAGGCGGCUUUCUAAGUCAGGGGUGAAAUCCUGGAGCUCAACUCCAGAACUGCCUUUGAUACUGGAGAGCUUGAGUCCGGAAGAGGUGAGUGGAACUCCGAGUGUAGAGGUGAAAUUCGUAGAUAUUCGGAAGAACACCAGUGGCGAAGGCGGCUCACUGGUCCGGUACUGACGCUGAGGUGCGAAAGCGUGGCGAGCAAACAGG